This 565-nucleotide ribosomal RNA is filed under the name Anaplasma platys. Its description in RNAcentral is "bacterial SSU rRNA". It matches the Rfam family "Bacterial small subunit ribosomal RNA", at positions 75 to 672 of the family's 1533-position model. Lineage: Bacteria; Pseudomonadati; Pseudomonadota; Alphaproteobacteria; Rickettsiales; Anaplasmataceae. The record is from RNAcentral.
GUAGCUUGCUAUGAUAAAAAUUAGUGGCAGACGGGUGAGUAAUGCAUAGGAAUCUACCUAGUAGUAUGGGAUAGCCACUAGAAAUGGUGGGUAAUACUGUAUAAUCCCUGCGGGGGAAAGAUUUAUCGCUAUUAGAUGAGCCUAUGUUAGAUUAGCUAGUUGGUAGGGUAAAGGCCUACCAAGGCAGUGAUCUAUAGCUGGUCUGAGAGGAUGAUCAGCCACACUGGAACUGAGAUACGGUCCAGACUCCUACGGGAGGCAGCAGUGGGGAAUAUUGGACAAUGGGCGCAAGCCUGAUCCAGCUAUGCCGCGUGAGUGAGGAAGGCCUUAGGGUUGUAAAACUCUUUCAGUGGGGAAGAUAAUGACGGUACCCACAGAAGAAGUCCCGGCAAACUCCGUGCCAGCAGCCGCGGUAAUACGGAGGGGGCAAGCGUUGUUCGGAAUUAUUGGGCGUAAAGGGCAUGUAGGCGGUUCGGUAAGUUAAAGGUGAAAUGCCAGGGCUUAACCCUGGAGCUGCUUUUAAUACUGCCAGACUCGAGUCCGGGAGAGGAUACGGAAAUUUUCC